Molecule: ribosomal RNA, 446 nt
Filed under: uncultured bacterium
Lineage: Bacteria
Description: partial 16S ribosomal RNA
Rfam family: Bacterial small subunit ribosomal RNA
Source: RNAcentral
GUAAGGAAUAUUGGUCAAUGGGGGCAACCCUGAACCAGCCAUGCCGCGUGAAGGAUGAAGGCGUUAUGCGUUGUAAACUUCUUUUGUAUGGGAAGAAUGACAGGGAUUUAUCCUUGGAGAGACGGUACCAUACGAAUAAGCACCGGCUAACUCCGUGCCAGCAGCCGCGGUAAUACGGAGGGUGCAAGCGUUAUCCGGAAUCACUGGGUUUAAAGGGUACGUAGGCGGUUAAUUAAGUCAGUAGUGAAAGACUGUCGCUCAACGACGGAUGUGCUAUUGAUACUGGUUAACUUGAAUCAGGUUAGAGUUGGCGGAAUGGGUCAUGUAGCGGUGAAAUGCUUAGAUAUGGCACAGAACACCAAUUGCGAAGGCAGCUCACUAAGGCGAUACUGACGCUGAGGCACGAAAGCGUGGGGAUCGAACAGGAUUAGAUACCCGUGUAGUCC